GAGGAAGAAGAGGACUAGAGGAGGAAGAAGGACACACAGACACAAGGACUUUCCCAGCGCACGAACGCCCCUCGAGCACGUAUUCGAUUUUCUUUGAGCACAAUACUCAACACCCGGCUACAUGGCUUACAACACAACUCUCAGUUUCAACCAUCACGCGGUCUACGGGAUUUAUACCCGGGCUGGCGCAUGCACACACUCAGCCCACCCCGCCCCACGCGCACGACCUGCAUGCCCGGCCGCAUGCACCCACGACGCGCUCACCACGGCCGCUUCCAACGCAUUGCUAACCACCUAGCUAGAUCACAUGGCUGUCCCACUAUGCCACACACACACCCUAGGGCACGCGCACACACACACCCGAGCCUGUCACAGUCGGACCCGGCGCGGCCACCACACGCAAGCACGCGCAUCGCGCCUCACCCGUUUGAGCCGUGGCUUAUUUGCCCAACACUUCACCUCCUAAGCCACGGCGUUGCCGCACGACCUGCCGAUACGAGCCCUGCCUCGUCGGCAUCGUCUCGGCGCCAUGGACUCCUCCGCUGCGUCUCCAGCACAAGCGCCUCCACGGUUGUCACGCCGAGCCGCCACGACCUCUACGCCACCACGCAGGUCCUUCGCGACCUCCUCGUCUCCGCGACCGCCGUGCCCUUCGCGCGCACUCCCCACGUCCCUGCGCUCCCGGCCCGCGCUCCCGCCGUGCGCGUACGCGAUCUGCGCAACCAGGUCCAGUGCCUUGACGCGGUCCACUCCUGCGGUCCCGACGCGUCCAGUGCGCACCCAUAACACGUACCGGUCACGCCUGGCUCGCCGCCGCAGCUUAUUCGCCAUCUCCGCACGCCUCCAGCUCGUGCCAUGAUCGCGCUCCGACGCGAUCAACGCGGCCGAUCCGGCGUGUCCAGGAGCUCGGUCUUCUCUCCGCCGAGCCACGCCGCGCCACCGCAGCCUCUGUGCAACCAUGCAGUACCUCCGCGGUUUUCUCGCCGUGCCGCCGAGGCCUCCACGCUCGUCGCACGUAUGACAUCACAGCGCGCCGCCUCAGUGUCCGCCACCGGCUCACCGCUUGCUGCCUCUGUGUCUGCCACGACGGCCGCAACGCCGCGCAUCUCCUCAGGCCGACACACAGCCUAGAGCUCCAUCGCGCAGCCGCCGGCGAACGCCGCCGUCACCGGCAUGCCUCUGGCACGCUGAACCAUGCCAAGACGAACUAGCUCUUGAUACCAAAUGUUGUUGCCGCCCUCUCUCUCGCCUUGGCACUCGCCUUGCACUCGAGGAAGAAGAGGACUGGAGGAGGAAGAAGGACACACAGACACAAGGACUUUCCCAGCGCAUGAACGCCCCUUGAGCACGUACUCAAUUUUCUUUGAGCACAAAACUCAACACCCGGCUACAUGGCUUACAACACAACUCUCAGUUUCAACCAUCACACGGUCUACGGGAUUUAUACCCGGGCUGGCGCAAGCACACACUCAGCCCACCCCGCCCCACGGGCACGACCUGCAUGCCCGGCCGCAUGCACCCACGACGCGCUCACCGCGACCACUUCCAACGCAUUGCUAACCACCUAGCUAGAUCACAUGG
RNAcentral lists this long non-coding RNA (1581 nucleotides) under Triticum aestivum (bread wheat). RNAcentral describes it as "long non-coding RNA (TAES_LNC025639)". The record is from RNAcentral. Lineage: Eukaryota; Viridiplantae; Streptophyta; Magnoliopsida; Poales; Poaceae.